AACGAACGCUGGCGGCAGGCCUAACACAUGCAAGUCGAGCGGACCCUUCGGGGUUAGCGGCGGGCGGGGGAGUAACGCGUGGGAAUAUGCCCUUCUCUACGGAAUAGUCCUGGGAAACUGGGGGUAAUACCGUAGACGCCCUUUGGCGGAAAGAUUUAUCGUGGAAGGAUGAGCCCGCGUUGGAUUAGGUAGUUGGUGUGGUAAUGGCCUACCAAGCCGACGAUCCAUAGCUGGUUUGAGAGGAUGAUCAGCCACACUGGGACUGAGACACGGCCCAGACUCCUACGGGAGGCAGCAGUGGGGAAUCUUAGACAAUGGGGGCAAUCCUGAUCUAGCCAUGCCGCGUGAGUGAUGAAGGCCUUAGAGUUGUCAAGCUCUUUCAGCUGGGAAGAUAAUGACGGUACCAGCAGAAGAAGCCCCGGCUAACUACGUG
RNAcentral lists this ribosomal RNA (433 nucleotides) under uncultured bacterium. RNAcentral's name for it is "partial 16S ribosomal RNA". It matches the Rfam family "Bacterial small subunit ribosomal RNA", at positions 29 to 507 of the family's 1533-position model. The record is from RNAcentral.